Molecule: long non-coding RNA, 4318 nt
Filed under: Sorghum bicolor (sorghum)
Lineage: Eukaryota; Viridiplantae; Streptophyta; Magnoliopsida; Poales; Poaceae
Description: long non-coding RNA (SBIC_LNC003361)
Source: RNAcentral
ACUAUCUAGAUCUACUCUAGUUUAGAGAAGAGAGGAGAGCUCUCAUCUCUAAACCCUAGCUUUUGCUCUGUCUAUGAAUAAUGAAUAAUGAUCAAGGGGUGCCUCCUCCAGGGGCCACGGGGUCUGGUUUUAUAGUCCCCUCAAGUGAACCUGGGCCGUCGGAUCAAACCGACAUUGAUUGAACGGUUAUUCUUGAUCCUUUAGGUCGGUGGAGCAUAAUCCGCGAGAUUGAGCGUGAUUGGCCACAGGAGUAGGACAGGGCGGGCGCCCUGUCUCUGGCCCCGAUUCGCCUCCGCUUCGGUCUCGUGGCUUCUGGAGUCUUCUAGAUGUAAGAUAAUUGCGCGGCAUGUUAAUAUCUUUACGUAAUCCCGACAUGUGGGCCUUUCUUCCUUAUUUCCUGAUAACCCCCUGCAGAAAUAGACAAACACCAAAACUCGUGGAAUUCUGUCAGAUAAAACCCUAAGUCUCGAUGUUGAUUUCAUUUGGAUCCUUUUCUUUGUUUAUUUGAUAGUUAAAUUUGAUACUUAAGAACCGUCAACAAACUCCCCCAAGCUUACCUCUUGCUCGUCCCUGAGCAAGGAUAGACUCAGCUAUGGAUCAUAAGUUGUUGCAAUAUCUUUAAAAAUUGACGGUACACAUGCUUUUAAAUGAGGUCUCAUCUCUGAGUUAGAGUAAACUGUCAAGACUUAAAACUUACUUACUUUACCUUUCACUAUGGGACUUGUAACCGUCACUUCUGUCUUGAGUGGUUAAAAGAUAGAACAGUCCAGUCAAGUGCCAUGUCGCUUAUUCUUGAUCAGCUAUAGCUCUGGAGUUUUUGCAGAUUUUCAAAUAAAACUCAGAGAUUCCUUUGUAUGACUCUCUCAUAUCUCUCUUUUGUGGUAUUUCUGGAUCCUUACCAAGACAGUGAUGGUAUAUGCCUUCUCUCAAAAUAUGUGGUAUUUGUGGUAUAAGGCAUAGUGACAUUGCCUUCUCUCUCACCCUACUCUAAUAAGGCUUUAAUAUCUGGAGCUCAUAGGUGGGAGAUAAAGUAUACAUACUUACAAGACAUUUAUUGUAUAGUCAAACCAUGGAUCCAAAGAGACAAAUCAAUAAGCCAAAUCAAGAUGUGCAUGUGUGGCGAAUGAAUGGUGUAUAGUGAUGAUGGUGAUAACAAUGGUGAAAGUCUAAUUCUACUUUUGCUCUUUUGAAGGGAUACAUACCUUCCUUGCUUUUUGAAACUUUAUGAGGAGAAUGAGAUGCUCUUCUUUUUCUUUUCUCUCAGAUGGGUAUCAUGUACCCCUAAUUCUACUGUCGGACACUUGUCCAUUUUUACCUCUCGUCUCACUCUUUUUCUUUUCUUUCGAGGUUCCGGGCACUUGCCCCUUUUUAUUUCCUCGUUUAUUUAUUUUUUUUCUUUUCUUUUUUUUAUUCUUUUUUUUUCAGAGCACUCAUCUCUUGAGAUAAUAUAGCAAGUGGUAGUAGUAAGAUAACUUGAGCAUUUAUUUCACAAGGAAUAACAGGGAUAGGAAAAUGUUUUUGGCUAUUCUCUCCCGGAUUAGGAGUAGAAUGAUUUUGGGUGAAACUGGAAAUGGAUGGAUAUGUGGAUGGUACUUCCGGAGUAGAAGUAGCAUAUAUGAGUGAACGUGCAAGUGAAUCUUGAUUUAACCACAUGACAAGCUCCUAAGGGUCUACACAGCUUGACCACACUCAAUGCUCAUAAGCAGUAAAUAAAUGUGUGGCUCAAAGUCUAGCAAGCAUGUAUAUAUGGCUGUGGUAGGAAUUUAAACUUUCAUCAUACAGGAACUCAUCAUGCAAUAUUUUAAAGAUUUUUAAAGAUAAAAUUCUCCAGAAUUCUAGCAUCUCUAGGAAUAGAUAAACAGCAGCUCAACCUUCCCAUAUCAUAUCCGUUAACAACUUAGAUUUCAGAUCAAGUUUUCAUCCCACAAGUUUAGAUCUAGAGCAAGCUUUAAAUUAUAACAGUUAUGUCUAAACUUGAGAGAGAACUUCAAAUUUGCAAAUUAGGUAGAGCAACUAUUCAUCAUAUCCAUGCUAGAGUUUUAUUAUUAAGAUUCAGAUUAGCAUAGCUACUUUAUUUAUUUAUUAAACACACUAAGCAAAAGAUAUAUAUAUAAGCACAAAAUCUUUAUUUGGUUUUUCAUAGUUUAUGUAUUUUAAUAUUCUAAUAUAAUAUAAGUAUAAAGAUAGGUAGAAAUACUUAGCGAGAUAAAUGGGGGUGCUCUACCCCAAGCUGAAUUUUGACGUAAUUUCUCUUGAUGUAGCUAGCAGGUGGCAGAGGUGUAUUUGAAAGUCAGCAGCAUUCUGACAGCGAUUAGAAUGUCCUCCGUCUGCUAGUCUUCUUGAUUCUUAAAUUCUGUGGAGCUCAAAUAGACAACAAAGCUUGUGGAACUAAUUAAGUGUUAGCAUAAAUAUUUAGCCUUCAUCACAUUGAGCUUCCUCAAUAAAUAUUACUCCCUGUUUUUAUAUUUUUAUUUUAUAAAGUAGAAAAGAAAUAUUUAUUUUAUUUUUAUGCUACCACAGUGAAGGUACUUAUGGGUUUUAUGCCACUCGUAUACUCACAUGGGGCUUAGUUUUUUUAACAUUUUUAUUUUCUUUUCAAGAUAGCAUGAUUAACUAAUAAUCUAUUUAAGGCAAGUAAAUAAUUAAAGGGAAAAGGGAAUACAGAAAGGAUAAAUAUGGAUAACUACCAAUCUUACCUUUUGGCGAGGGUUCAAUGUUUUAAGUCUUCUUGACAAGACUUCUCACCGUGUUCAUUCUUCAGGUGCGUCAUUUGAUUCAGGUGCGGACCUUGACGUCUGCACCUUUUAAUACGGUGUCACCCAUGUUCUUCGUUUGCCCAGCAGUUCGAAGUGCGGUGUUAGCAGUAUCUUGCUCAAUGUGUUUGUGCUCGUAGUGUACCUGCUCAUAGAGACAAGGCAGAGAUCAAGUGCAUGGGCCCUGUUGGUGGAAAACACCAACAAAACCAAAAGUGUAUUUGUUCUUCUCUAACCUUAAGCAUAGUGAGCAAGACAAAGUUGAUGGAUGAUAAGUUCAUGAGUGUAGCACUUAUAACAUUUGUCAGAUCAGAUCGCUCAGCCUUAUGGAAAGAUAAUCUAUCUAUGUAUAUGUCUUUUUCUUUAUAUCUCUUAAUGAUUGAAUGUGUAACAUUUUAGCUCAUAUGAUUAGGAGUGUGGGAUCAUGGAGGUAGUACUAAGAACAAGGAUUAAAGGACUAAACAUGUUGAAUCCGUUAGGUUGGUUAAUCUAGAGUUGUAAAUCAUACAUGUUUGUCUCUUUUAUUUAUAUGAACGCUAGAACCAAGGAGAAGCUUAUAAAAGUGAUAGUCAAGUACCUUAAGAUGUUACCUUGCUUGAAGAGUGAUGGUACAGUAUCACCUUGUAGAAGCUUUCCUUUCUUAGCGGUUGUGCAUCGUGGUUGUGGCACCCUCCAUGGAUCAUCUCUCUAUGAUGAAUGAGCUAUGUUCUUCUUGUGCAAAUUGUUAAACUUCAUGUGUCACUCUCUUCGUCUCUGAUGUGAGUUUAUCUCAGGACUUCCCAAAUUGAUAUUGAAAGUUUUUCUGCAGGGGUUAGUCUGACAAAAUAUACCAAUAUCUACUCAAGCAGUUUUUUUUAGUUCAAUAACCAAACUAGACUCCAUGUCUAAUCAGAUUAAGGAAGGCUCCUUAACCUAAGCACCGUACUUAAUUUAAAUGCCAAUGGAAGUAUGACGAGUACUUCCAAACCAACACUUGCUAGUAAAUAGACAAAGGUAGCAUGACAACAUUUAUAGAGAUCUACUCAAGUGGAGAUGAAGUAGUGUGAUUAGUAUUUAACAAAUUGAGCAUGUCUCAAAGGUAGGGACAACCAGCAUAGCAACAUGGCAAAGGAUGUUUUUAUGUAAAGUACUCCCCUAAGCUUGAAUUUUACAAAAUUCAAGUUUGGAUGAAUUUAAUUCAAUGUUGUAUGAUGAUUGGUUGGACAUACCUUGUGCUUGUCAUUCAUCCGAUCUUCUUGCUCCAAUCCUAGAAAGGUUAGUGACAAGAAUACCCGAAGGAAUAUUUUUUUACAAUUAUCCUUAUGUGCUCAAUACACAAGGUAAUGUUGCAAAUAAUUAAAGGCUCAUGUUACGAUCUGAUCAAUGCUUAUUUUAAGACACUAAGCUUGUCCUUGGGAAACCAUCAGUUUAUGUUGGCGAAGUGGUUUCCCCUCCGACGCCAACCUAUAUCUAGAUCAACUCAACGAGAUCUGUAAUAUUUAUUAUAGACAUAUGCAUCGACAACCGCCCUUUUAAAGUUUUUAUAAAUAGAAAGGAAGAGGGGGUUGGAGAUCUCAAGUGUGGUG